Non-coding RNA from Saimiri boliviensis boliviensis (Bolivian squirrel monkey), 4414 nucleotides. The record is from RefSeq and is a predicted model, not a curated record. NCBI's taxonomy places the organism in Eukaryota, Metazoa, Chordata, Mammalia, Primates, Cebidae.
AGGCCCACUAUCUGUCAUGUGAUGCUAUACCAGAGUCAGGCUGAAAUUUGGUGUCUACAAAAGUGUGUUUCAUCAGUUUUAAGAUCUCUAUGUUAAUGUUAAUGCUGGUCAGCUGUGCCUGAAUUCCAAGGGGAGGAGGGAAUAAUGAGGUAUGUCUGACUCUCACUUCCCAUCAUGGCCUGAAAUAGUUUUUCUGGUUAAGUUUGGAAUAUCUUUGAACAAGAGAAGGGGUUGAUUCCGUUGAUUAGGGAAUUCUAUUUUUGGUUUACAUCUCUUGGUACUCUGUACCAUGCUGCAAACCAAAUCAAUGCUAAUUUUGAAAAUGGUCUCACUUGAGUAUCAUUUUUUAUUGUUUCUUAUUGUUGAAGGCAAGGUUGGUAGGGAAUUGGAUAAGAAAGCAAAAGGUCCACCUGAUUGGCUCCUGAGCAAUUUAAAAUGGCACUGUCUAUGCCCACCUUGUGCCUUCCAGCAGUUGACCAAGCCCCUUGCCAGCUGAGUGGCCCAUGCCAGCAGAUUAGAGCAUGGUAAGAGGAACUCAUUGACAGCCACACCCAGUUCCCAAUGUGGUCUUGACCUCAGCUUCUAACUUGUUCCCUCAUCUUCCAUCUUUGGUGUGUUAGUUCAUUUUCAUGUUGCCAUCUCAGAACUAUCUCAUACUGGGUAAUGUAUGAAGAGAAGAGGUUUAAGUGACUCAGUUUCACAGGCUGUACAGGUAACAUGGCUAGGGAGACCUCAGAAAAUUUUCCGUCAUGGUGGAAGGUGAAGGGGAAGCAGACAUGUCUUAUAUGGCUGGAGUAGGAGGGAGAGAGCAAUGGUGGGAGGUGCUACCCACUUUUAAACAACCAGAGGCCAGGCAUGGUGGCUCACAUCUGUAAUCACAGCACUUUGGGAGGCCAAGGCAGGUGGAUCACUUGAGUUCAGGAGUUUGAGACCAGCCUGGGCAACAUUGCAAAACCCUGUCCCUAUGAAAAUUACAAAAAUUACUCAGACAUGGCAGAUGCUUGUAGUCCCAGUGUAUUUGUCUGUUUUCGCACUGAUGAUAACGACAUACCCGGGCCUGGGAAGAAAAAGAGGCUUAAUUGGGCUUACAGUUCCACAGGGCUGGGGAGGCCUCAGAAUUAUGGCAAGAGGCAAAAGGCACUUCUUACAUGGUGGCACCAAGAGAAAAUGAGAAGGAUACAAAAGUGAAAUUCCCUGAUAAAACUAUCAGAUCUUCUGAGACUUACUAACAUAAGAACAGUAUGGGGGAACCACCCCAAUAAUUCAAAUUAUCUCCCACCAGGUACCCCCAACAGCAUGUAGGAAUUAUAGGAGUACAAUUCAAGAUGAGAUUUGGGUGGGGACACAGAGCCAAACCAUAUCACCCAGCUACUUGGGAGGCUGAGAUGACAGAAUUACUUGAGCCUAGAAGGAAGAGGUUGCAGUGAGCCAAGUUCAUGCCACUACACUCUGUCCUGGGUCACAGAGCCUGACCCUGCCUCAAAAAUAAAUAAAUAAUAAAUAACCAGAUCUCAUGAGAACUCACUCACUAUCACAAGAACGGCAAUGGGGAAGUCUGCCCCAUGAUCCAAUCCCCUCUCACCUAGCGUCUCCUCCAACACUGGGGAUAAUAAUUCCACCUGAGAUUUUGGCAGAGAUACAAAUCCAGACCAAAUCAUUCACUCCUGGCCCCUCCCAAAUCUUAUGUCCUUCUUACAUAGCAAAAUACAAUUAUCCUGUCUUGGUAGUUCCACAAGUCUUAACUCAUUUCAGCAUUAACUCAAAAGUCUAAAAUCUCAUCUGAGAAAAGGCAAUUCCCUUCUGCCUAUGACUAUGAACCUAUAAAAUCAAAAACAAAUUAGUUACUUCCAAGAUACAAUGAGGGUACAGGCAUUGGGUAAAUGAACUCAUUCCAAAGGGGAAAAUUAGCCAAAAUAAAGGGGAUAUAGGCCCUCUGUAAGUCUGAAAGCCAGCAGGGCAGUCAUUAAUUAUUAAAGCUCCAAAGUAAUCUCCUUUGAAUUUAUGUCUCACAUUGAGGCCACACUGAUGCAAGGGGUGUGCUCCCAAGGCCUUAGGCAUCUCUGCCCCUGUGGCUCUGCAGGGUACAGCUUCCUUGAAUACUUUCAUGGGCUGGCACUGAGUGCCUGCAGCUUUUCCAGGUGCAUGAUGCAAGCUGUCGAUGAAUCUACCAUUCUGGGGUCUGGAAGAUGGCUCCACUAGGACAAUGUAUGGGGACUCCAAGCCCAUGUUUCCCCUCUGCACUGCCCUAGUAGAAGUUCUCCAUGAGGGCUCUGGAGACUUCUGUGAACAUCCAGGCAUUUUCAUGCAUCCUCUGAAAUCUAUGCAGAGGCUCCCACACCUCAGCUCUUGCCCUCUGUGCACCUGCAGGCUUAACACCAUGUGGAAGCCAUCAAGGCUUAUGACUUACACCCCCUGGAGCAGUGGCCUAAGAUGUAUCUGGGGUCCUUCUAACCACAGCUGAAGCUGGAGUAGCUAGGAUGCAGGGAGCAGUGUCCUGAGGUUGCUCAGGGCAGUGGGGCCCUAGACUCAGACUGUAAAACUAUUUUUCCCUCCUAGGCCUCCAGGCCUGUAAUGAGAGAGGUUGCCAUGAAGGCCUCUGAAAUGCCUUCAAGGCAUUGCCUCCCAUUGUCUUGGCCAUUAAUGUUAGGCUCCUCUUUAUUUAUGCAAAUUUCUGCAGCCAGCUUGAAUUGCUCCCCAGAAAAUUGUUUUUUCUUUUCUACCACAUGGCAGGGCUGCAAAUUUUCUAAACUUUUACACUCUGCUUCUCUUAUAAAUAUCUUCUAUUUCCAGGUCAUUUCUUUGCUCACAAAUAUAAGCUUAAGAUGUUAGAAGCAGCCAGGCUAUGUCUUGAACAUUUUGCUGCCUAGAAAUUUCUUCAGCAAGUUACUCUAAAUUAUCACUUUCACUUUCAAAGUUUCACAGGGCAGGGGCACAAUGCUUCCAACCUCUUUGCUAGUGCAUAACAAAAGUGAUCUUUGCUCCAGUUCCCAGUAAGUUCCUUAUCUCCAUCUGAGACCACCUCAGCCUAGACUUCGUCAUCCAUAUCACUCAGUAAUUUGGUCCCAAGAAUCUAACAAGUUUUUAGGAAGUUCCAAACUUUUUAUCAUCUUCCUGUCUUCUUCUGAGACCUCCAAGCUGUUUUAACCUCUGCCUGUUACCCGGUUCCAAAGUCACUUCCACAUUUUCAGGUACCUUUAUGCCAGUGGCCCACUCCUCAGUACCAAUUUUCUGUAUUAGUCCAUUCUCACAUUUCUACAAAGAACUACCUGAGACUGCAUAACUUAUAAAGAAAAGGGGUUUAACUGACUGACAGUUCCACAGGCUGUACAGGUAACAUGGCUGGAGAGGCUUCAGGAAACUUUCAAUCAUGGUAGAAGUAACGAGGAGAAAGCAGGCAUGUCUUACAUUGCUGGAGUAGGAGAGAGAACCUCUAGUAGGUGCUACACACUUUUAAACAAUCAGAUCUUGUAAUAACUCACUCACUAUUAUGAGAACAGCAAGGGGAAAUCCACCCCUAUGAUCCAGUCAUCUCCCACCAGGCCCCUCCUCCAACAUUGCAAUUUGACAUGAGAUUUGGGUGGAGACACAAAUCCAAACAAUAUCUUUUGGCAUUUACUCUGCUCCUGAUAUCUGAUACCACUCACCAGUACAACUUUGGCUCUUUCUUGUAAUUUGUGCUAAGGGAAACCAAAAUAUUUCAGCCCAAAAAAGAAUUCUUUAACAUAUUUCAAGAUGGCUAUUCAGAAGGGCUGGAAAUAUGAGAACAGCUGAAAAGCUGUCCUUUGUGGGGGGAGAAUUGCAUCUGUAGAGAAAAUCUGCAUUGAUACAGCCAGGCUUUCUCUGAGGCCCUUUCUUGUCCAGAUCUAAGGAAGAUUAACAGAAUUUAAUACCUUUAAAGAUCUGCAAGAAACAUUUACCAUCUAAUCUCUCUUGAGGGCUGCUAUCUGUGAGAUUUCCUCUACAUAACAAGACCAUCUUUUCUGCCAGUCCUCCUCUUCUUCCCCAUCUGUAAUGUAUUUUGCUCCCAAAACCUGUUUUGCCACAAUCAAAACCCCCCAUUCUUUCUGUAACCUUAAGAUGUUCUGAAAGCUUCUGUGCCCCACUUUGCGCUUGGGGUAAUCACUCUGUGAUUCAUUACAUUACCAUGCUAUAGUCUGCUGGCAUGGAUCAUUCAAAUGGCAGGUGGCAUGGUGCAUGUUAAUACAUUUGCAUACCAUUUCACCUAUUAACCUGUCUUUUAUGAGUUUUCAGUUAUCCUUCAGAGGGUAAAGGGGAAGUUUUAUACCAGCACUCGACUUAAACGCCUAUCUGCUUCUUGUCAUUAAGUGAACAAAUCAGCCUGAGCCUCAUAGUCCCUGGGACCCUUCCUCAGCCCAUGUAAUCAGUGAACAUCCCAGAUUGCCUUAAGCCCCAA